RNAcentral lists this ribosomal RNA (558 nucleotides) under uncultured soil bacterium. RNAcentral describes it as "bacterial SSU rRNA". It matches the Rfam family "Bacterial small subunit ribosomal RNA", at positions 35 to 623 of the family's 1533-position model. The record is from RNAcentral.
GCUGGCGGCGUGCCUAACACAUGCAAGUCGAACGAGAAAGUGGUAGCAAUACCAUGAGUAAAGUGGCGCACGGGUGAGUAACACGUGACUAACCUACCUUGGAGUUCGGAAUAACCUCGGGAAACCGGGGCUAAUACCGGAUAACACCUACGGGUCAAAGGAGCAAUUCGCUCUGAGAGGGGGUCGCGGCUGAUUAGCUAGUUGGCAGGGUAAUGGCCUACCAAGGCGACGAUCAGUAUCCGGCCUGAGAGGGCGCACGGACACACUGGAACUGAAACACGGUCCAGACUCCUACGGGAGGCAGCAGUGGGGAAUUUUGCACAAUGGGGGAAACCCUGAUGCAGCAACGCCGCGUGGAGGAUGAAGAUCUUUGGAUUGUAAACUCCUUUCGACCGGGACGAUUAUGACGGUACCGGGAGAAGAAGCACCGGCUAACUCUGUGCCAGCAGCCGCGGUAAUACAGAGGGUGCAAGCGUUGUUCGGAAUUAUUGGGCGUAAAGGGCGCGUAGGCGGUGCGGUAAGUCUGCGGUGAAAUCUCCCGGCUCAACUGGGAGUCUG